RNAcentral lists this long non-coding RNA (299 nucleotides) under Zea mays. RNAcentral's name for it is "long non-coding RNA (ZMAY_LNC005273)". The record is from RNAcentral. Lineage: Eukaryota; Viridiplantae; Streptophyta; Magnoliopsida; Poales; Poaceae.
GAAUCGACUGGUUCGACUACAAGAAGCAGCUGAAGAGGGGAGAUCAAUGGAAUGUGGAGGUCUACUAACCGCUGAAUUUUGCAGCUGACAUUUUGUGUUGUGCCUAUCUGUAAGUGAGGCCAGGGUGUACUGCGUAUAUAAUGUAGAUAGUGAGUGUGUUCUGAGUUUUUUUUUACUAUUGCCGUCUCUGUUUAUAGAUUUGUAUAAGUACUCUUAAUGUUAUGCCUAUUCGAUUUUUUAUAUGAGUAAUGUGAUCAAGUGCCCAAGAAUUUAUGUUCCCACAUUAUUUUUUGAAUUGC